Molecule: ribosomal RNA, 460 nt
Filed under: uncultured bacterium
Lineage: Bacteria
Description: partial 16S ribosomal RNA
Rfam family: Bacterial small subunit ribosomal RNA
Source: RNAcentral
CCUACGGGGGGCAGCAGUGAGGAAUAUUGGUCAAUGGACGAGAGUCUGAACCAGCCAAGUAGCGUGAAGGAUGACUGCCCUAUGGGUUGUAAACUUCUUUUAUAUGGGAAUAAAAUGUUCCACGUGUGGGAUUUUGUAUGUACCAUAUGAAUAAGGAUCGGCUAACUCCGUGCCAGCAGCCGCGGUAAUACGGAGGAUCCGAGCGUUAUCCGGAUUUAUUGGGUUUAAAGGGAGCGUAGGUGGAUUGUUAAGUCAGUUGUGAAAGUUUGCGGCUCAACCGUAAAAUUGCAGUUGAAACUGGCAGUCUUGAGUACAGUAGAGGGGGGCGGAAUUCGUGGUGUAGCGGUGAAAUGCUUAGAUAUCACGAAGAACUCCGAUUGUGAAGGCAGUUCACUGGACUGCAACUGACACUGAGGCUCGAAAGUGUGGGUAUCAAACAGGAUUAGAUACCCGUGUAGUC